AUACGGAGGAUCCGAGCGUUAUCCGGAUUUAUUGGGUUUAAAGGGAGCGUAGGCGGACGCUUAAGUCAGUUGUGAAAGUUUGCGGCUCAACCGUAAAAUUGCAGUUGAUACUGGGCGUCUUGAGUACAGUAGAGGCAGGCGGAAUUCGUGGUGUAGCGGUGAAAUGCUUAGAUAUCACGAAGAACUCCGAUUGCGAAGGCAGCCUGCUGGACUGUAACUGACGCUGAUGCUCGAAAGUGUGGGUAUCAAACAGGAUUAGAUACCCUGGUAGUCCACACAGUAAACGAUGAAUACUCGCUGUUUGCGAUACACUGUAAGCGGCCAAGCGAAAGCGUUAAGUAUUCCACCUGGGGAGUACGCCGGCAACGGUGAAACUUAAAUGAAUUGACGGGG
Molecule: ribosomal RNA, 393 nt
Filed under: uncultured bacterium
Lineage: Bacteria
Description: partial 16S ribosomal RNA
Rfam family: Bacterial small subunit ribosomal RNA
Source: RNAcentral